This 2568-nucleotide long non-coding RNA is filed under the name Triticum aestivum (bread wheat). Its description in RNAcentral is "long non-coding RNA (TAES_LNC008681)". Lineage: Eukaryota; Viridiplantae; Streptophyta; Magnoliopsida; Poales; Poaceae. The record is from RNAcentral.
AGGGUGAAUUGUUGAUUAUGCUUAUUAUAGGCUUUGAAGGAUUAAAUCUGAGAACAUAAUUCUCGAAACGGGGGAGGUUCAAUUGGUGUUCCUGGAGAUGACAAGAAACAUCAUUCAAGGGAAGGAGGAUUCGUUGUGAGAGAGUCGGAUGCCGGCGCGGAUCCUCUCAAAGGACUCAUUGCAGCACCACAAAGACACAGGCAACGGUGCUACUGCUGAUGGUAGAGAGGAGAUCAAUGGCAAGGGAGGCAAGGGAGAAACUGAGGGUGUGAAUCUGAGUUUAUUCUAGAUGUCUUUUUUUGCUGAUCAACUCCAUCUCAAUCGCCAUCCAUCUUCCUCUAAUUUUUCUUUUGUUUCUGUACAGGUCAAAGAGGGUUUACAACUAAGUAUAAAGCUUCACGAGGACUCAUCUUCUUCGGAUGGAAGAUGAUCAGUUACUGAUAAGUUAUAAAAUUUCUAUAUUUCGGUGAUGGUAUCGACUAGGUGUUCUUUCAGAUUUGCUUCUAUCAUGCGUAUUAAAACACGUUCAGCUUAUGUAGAUGAUGCACGGAUACUGCAGUAAAAGUAAAUACUUUACCUGUAAACUGAACUUUUGAUUUAGUAAUUCUACUUUUGGUCCAACAAUCGAUCAAUUGUUGAGGCUAUACUGAACCAAAAAUUGCUUACUGGGGCAGUACUAUAGUCUCUUGAUUAUGCUCUUAAGUAAAUAUCAUGUCUUCCUCUAAUUAGAAAUUUAGAAAACAAUAGGUUAAUCAGAAGCUUUCUUACAAGAAGAGUGCUCUUCAGAAGCUACUACAUGUAUACGCUCACAUCACAUGCAUGUUUUGUUUUCUUAAUUUUCAGGUGCUUGUGAAUAUCUGCAGAAGUACAGUAGCCUGUAGCUUUGUAGGCGUUGAACUAAAUACCAAUCCAAGUAAGAGCGAAAGGAAGAUAAUAUAGGUUUUGAUCCGCCAAAAGGUCUAUUUAUUCUCAUUUCAGUUAAGACUUACCUCUAAACAUUGCAUGAACUCCUGCACAUAUUGGAUACUUUAUUGAUGCACCUUCUUGCAUUUUAAUUCCAUGUAAGUUGUGUACUCUAUUUAAUAAGUUAUUUGUAUUUUGGCUACAAAUGAUUUUAUUGGAUAUACUGUAGACAUUUUCCGCAAGGACUGUUGCAACUUGCUAGACAUAGGAAAAGAUGGGAGUCAAUCCAAGAUGACAUCAGCAACCAAAGGUGAACAUUUAUAUAAACAAUGGGUUUUCUGAUACAAGAAUAAUCAUGUGUUUUUUCUUUGAAGGUGUUUGAUUUUCUUUCGGUGUGGAAAUUAUUAUGAUGAUCAUUCAUCAUAGAUGGGUAUGUGCUUUUCUUCUGACAAAGAAAUUCAAGUUUGAAUCUUAGAUUUAACAAUUAUUUGACAUGUCAUGAAGUGUGUACUGCAUCACUCACAAAAAGCAUAGCUUCCAUCCAGCGGCUUUGGCCGAGUUAAUCUGUGCAUUGAUGUUUCACCAUUUCCUGAAGUUAUAUAACUAUUGUGGUUUCCUUCAGGUUAAUGCGAUUACUCUAUUAAGUGAAGGUUCGUCGUUUUUCCUUGAUCAAGGCUAUUAAUUUAUAGAUGAGUUUUCGAGUAUACUCAUAGUAGUCCAGUGACGAGUAUAAGUUGAAGCAAGAGUCUAUUACAUAAAAAACAUUUUCAUUUGAAAGUAGCCAUAAGAUAGAAAUGGCUACAUAUAUUGUAUACAUGAAAAUUAAGAUGUAUAUAGCAUGUCCGAGAGGCUAUUUUCCUCUUUUUGGUUAUACUUACUACUGUCCAUUUGAAGACAAAGGAAAACUUCUGCGAAACAACUUUUUUCAGAUUGUUUUAUCAUUUUCAACUCAUGGUUCAAUUAUGUUUACCUUUUGUCACCUUAUAUUUAUGGAAAUUCCUAUCAACAUAUUGCCAAAACAGAUGGGCGCGGCAACGUGCGCCUUCGAUGAUCUAGUAACAUGUAUAUCAGAUAUAAUUUUGUUGAGUUGCCAGCCUUCUUAUCUGCCAAGUAUCUAGGGCAGUUCCGCUUCUAGUGACCGUUCCCCUUACAAUAGAAGCACUCAGUCUCAGGUUUGGGUCCAAACUUGGGUUUCUUCACUGGAGCGGUAACUGGCUUGCCAUUUUGAAGUUUCGCUUCUUUCCCUUACCCUUCUUGAAACUAGUGGUCUUGUUGACCAUCAACACUUCAUGGUUCUUCUUGAUUUCUACCUCCGCGACCUUAAGCAUUGCAAAUAGCUCAGGGAUCGUCUUCUCCAUAACUUGUAUGUUAUAGUUCAUCACGAAGUUCUAGCAGCUAGGUGGUAGUGAUUGGAGAACUCUGUUUAUCACUGUCUUAUUAGGAAGAUUAACUCCCACUUGAUUCAAGCGAGUGUAGCACCCACACACUAUAAGCACAUGCUCACUAACUGAGCUAUUCUCCUUCAUCUUGCAGGCAAAGAACUUGCCAGAUGUCUCAUACCUCUCAACACGGGCAUGAGCCUGAAACAUCAAUUUCGGCUCUGGAACAUCUCAUAUGCUCUGUGGUAUUCAAAAUGUCUUUGGAGCCCCAAUUUCUAAGCCAUAA